Non-coding RNA from Pelobates cultripes (western spadefoot toad), 645 nucleotides. NCBI's taxonomy places the organism in Eukaryota, Metazoa, Chordata, Amphibia, Anura, Pelobatidae. The record is from the annotation of a GenBank genome assembly.
AGGAACAAGGACUUUUAAAUUUGCCGAUCUCUCUUAAUGCUUUUGAGCGUGAAUUGUGAGUUUUGAGAGUGAACUCACGAUUUCAUAAAUUGCUCCAUUUGAAAGUGAACUACUUGUCUGGGGUAUAUCCCCACUCCUAGCAAGCAAUAUAUACUCAGACCCAGGGAAUAGAUGUCACGCCAAGGGUACAUAAUUCAUUCUUGUACUAUAGAAUAUUGCUAUGUAGUGUGAUUUGUGUAGUGCAUACAUGAAUUGGCUACUUAGUAGAGGUGAUAAGGCCAAUUUGACUGUAGAAGAUAGAUGUCAGAAGGGGUUAAUGUAAAUUAUAUAGGAAUGUGAUAGAGGUCAGAUGGUUUACAACAGGAAUUGCUUUGAAGUCCUGCCUCCAGAGCCCCUCUGCAAGGUUGAAAUAUUACACAUGAGUUGCCUCUGAGCCUACUUUAAUAUAAACUAACUCUCUAAUUUGCCAUAUGCUUAUAUUUUCUUAUAGAUGGUGGAUUCCUUUGAUAUGUCACCAUUAGCAUUGAAGAGAACCAUUUUCUUCCAGUGUCAUAUCCAAAAGAAACAUUAAUAAUAACCCACAGAUGAAUAAUCAUGCCUCCUCUUGUGCAUAUUUAGAAUGGCAAGAGCACACUGCAGAAAGAG